GGUCACUGCUAUCGGUGUUCGUCUAAGCCAUGCGAGUCAUAUGUUCUUUGGAACAUGGCGUACUGCUCAGUAACACGUGGAUAACCUGCCCUUGGGUCCGGCAUAACCCCGGGAAACUGGGGAUAAUACCGGAUAACGCAUAUAUGCUGGAAUUCUUUAUGCGUGAAACGGAUUCGUCUGCCCAAGGAUGGGUCUGCGGCCUAUCAGGUAGUAGUGGGUGUAAUGUACCUACUAGCCGACGACGGGUACGGGUUGUGAGAGCAAGAGCCCGGAGAUGGAUUCUGAGACAUGAAUCCAGGCCCUACGGGGCGCAGCAGGCGCGAAAACUUUACAAUGCGGGAAACCGUGAUAAGGGGACACCGAGUGCCAGCAUCAUAUGCUGGCUGUCCGGGUGUGUAAAAUACACCUGUUAGCAAGGGCCGGGCAAGACCGGUGCCAGCCGCCGCGGUAACACCGGCGGCCCGAGUGGUGAUCGUGAUUAUUGGGUCUAAAGGGUCCGUAGCCGGUUUGGUCAGUCCUCCGGGAAGUCUGACGGCUUAACCGUUAGGCUUUCGGGGGAUACUGCCAGACUUGGAACCGGGAGAGGUAAGAGGUACUACAGGGGUAGGAGUGAAAUCUUGUAAUCCCUGUGGGACCACCUGUGGCGAAGGCGUCUUACCAGAACGGGUUCGACGGUGAGGGACGAAAGCUGGGGGCACGAACCGGAUUAGAUACCCGGGUAGUCCCAGCCGUAA
This 734-nucleotide ribosomal RNA is filed under the name uncultured archaeon. RNAcentral's name for it is "bacterial SSU rRNA". It matches the Rfam family "Archaeal small subunit ribosomal RNA", at positions 21 to 756 of the family's 1478-position model. The record is from RNAcentral.